RNAcentral lists this ribosomal RNA (491 nucleotides) under uncultured bacterium. RNAcentral describes it as "partial 16S ribosomal RNA". It matches the Rfam family "Bacterial small subunit ribosomal RNA", at positions 28 to 507 of the family's 1533-position model. The record is from RNAcentral.
GAUGAACGCUAGCGAUAGGCUUAACACAUGCCAGUCGAGGGGUAACGUGUUGGAAGCUUGCUUCCGAUGACGCCGACCGGCGGAUGGGUGCGUAACGCGUAUGCAACUUGCCUCACAGUGGAGAAUAACCCGGAGAAAUCCGGACUAAUACUCCAUACACUCUUAAGUACGCCUGUACAUGAGAGGAAAGAUUUAUCGCUGUGAGAUAGGCAUGCGUCCUAUUAGGUAGUUGGUGAGGUAACGGCUCACCAAGCCGACGAUAGGUAGGGGUGCUGAGAGGCAGAUCCCCCACAUUGGGACUGAGACACGGCCCAAACUCCUACGGGAGGCAGCAGUGAGGAAUAUUGGUCAAUGGAGGAAACUCUGAACCAGCCAAGUCGCGUGAAGGAAGAAUGUCCUAAGGAUUGUAAACUUCUUUAGCGAGCGAGUAAGGACUUCCACGUGAUGGGAGUUUGAAAGUAGCUCGAGAAUAAGUAUCGGCUAACUCCGUG